RNAcentral lists this transfer RNA (125 nucleotides) under Azohydromonas caseinilytica. RNAcentral's name for it is "Azohydromonas sp. G-1-1-14 tRNA-OTHER". It matches the Rfam family "tRNA". From Rfam's summary of the family: Transfer RNA (tRNA) molecules are approximately 80 nucleotides in length. Their secondary structure includes four short double-helical elements and three loops (D, anti-codon, and T loops). Lineage: Bacteria; Pseudomonadati; Pseudomonadota; Betaproteobacteria; Burkholderiales; Sphaerotilaceae. The record is from RNAcentral.
GGCCGGUUAGCACAGUGGCAGUGCGUUCCUAGGUCGCGGGAGAAAUCCCGCGGCUUCCCUACACAAGCUAAUAAGCAUUGGCUUGUGUAGGGAAGACGAAGGUUCGAUUCCUUCACCGGCCACCA